Long non-coding RNA from Equus quagga, 3033 nucleotides. RefSeq lists it as uncharacterized. NCBI's taxonomy places the organism in Eukaryota, Metazoa, Chordata, Mammalia, Perissodactyla, Equidae. The transcript has 5 exons. The record is from RefSeq and is a predicted model, not a curated record.
AGUGGGCCUCCGCGAUCUCGGGAACCAACACCCCGAAUCCGGUGCCCAAGCAGGGAGGCCAGGUGCUUUAGGCGGCUCCAGAAAGGCCAGGCUUCGGAGCCUCUAACCUGAUGAAGGUGGGACUUCGGCAAAGUCGAGAAACCUAAGUCUGGGACAAGAGUCGGUAUACCCAUGGCCCACGUUCUUGCUCAGAAGAAGCAGACUGCAAAAUUCUGGAGGUGACAAAGGGAAGAUGAAGGCACAUAAACACCUGCUCCUCGCCUCCAGACCCCAAAGCAAUUUCGGCGAGUUUUGGAAGGGAAUGAAGGUGACAACUGUGCUAAGACUCAUCUGGCCUGGGAGCAGAUGGCGCAGGCCUGGAUGUCGCCACCGGAGAAGGUCCAUCGGGAAGCAGCCUGGCCUCGCGGGCGGUAAUAAGUCACUGUUUAUGGGUGUGGUUGUGAGGGAGGGACACAUGCAGGGAGAGAUUCAGGUUCUCGAGCGACUGGUGCUGAGGAGGUCGCCUGCUCUGGAUAAUAGUACCUUGUGGAAAACCGUUACCCGGAAGGCAGAAGUGUUGUGACUGUGGUGGACAAGGUGGAGGAGAGAGAAUUUCCAGGCAGCAGGAUUAUAAACAAAUUCACGCUGAGAAAUAGCCUGGUGACCUUAGCUAAAGUAUAUAAUAAGAGCAGACGAGAUUCCUGGAGGAGCAGCAGCUAUUAUGCAUCAUAAUGAUGAAAGCCACAGAAUAAAGAGCAAGAAGGUAGAAGGAGCCUGAGAACUUCAUGACAUUCUUGGACAGUGGUGCCAACCUUGGAUGAUUUACCUCAGGAUUUUUGGUUAAACAACAUAUAUUAACUCCUUUCUGUUUAACCCACUGGAGUUGAAUUUUCUGUUGCAAGCCCAGGACCAUGGGUGUGUUUCAUGGCAGAGAAAAGUGAAGAGGAGAAUUGUGUGUGUGUUUGAAGGAGAAACAGAUCAGCAGCCUUUUGAUUUGGCUCCUAAAGUAUCAAAUGUUUCUGGUGGGCAUAGUCUCUACGUUUGGUGGAGAGGUCUUCCUCACUCUGGUAUCCGAUCAUCUGAUGUCACUAGAAGACGAACCGUUUGGCCCUACUACAUAUAAAACCAUUGCGGUGAAAAAGGACAGCAUGGGGAUCCUAGAGACCGAAGUUGGACUGCGUGACUGAGGCUUAUGCCCAAGAUUCUAGGGUGAAACAUUGCUUGUUCCAAUGAGACUAUCUAAAGACUAUUUGAUACAAGUGUUGCUGAGAUGAUACAGACUUUUUAGAUAAGUGAGAAAUGAAUGUCUAGAAUAUUUUAAAAGCUACAGAAAGUAGACAGAAACGUUUUCAUUAGGAAUAGUUUAUAAAAGAAGAGAACGGUUUUCUUUAAGGAGCAAGGAAACUAAUAUUUAUUGAGCACUUGCUGUUUACCAGGCACUGUGUAUGUGUGUAUGUGCGUGUGUGUAUGUGUCUGCUCACAACGGCUCCGUGGGGUAGUGAUUAUUAGCUCCGUUUUAAUAAUGAAGACAUUGUGGCUCAGAGGGAGUAAGGUGCAAAGCCAGAAUUGCGAGACAAGAUUGUUGGCCUCCCGUGUCCAUGUGUCCACUCACUUUUCCUUUUGAAGGUCUCAGGUAAGGGGUAGCCUCACUGGGAUUUAGGCAGCCUGCCCCAGGGUCCUUGUUCUGACUACUGUGCUCCACUGCCUUUUAAGAGCAAAUUUAUCUUUUUACCAGGGAGUGACGACCUUAUCUAGAUAAGCAAAUUCAUAGAAUCCUGAUAGUAAACUGGAAUGUUAAUUGUUCUAAUAUUCUAUUGUUUUGACUUUCUUUAUCACUAAUACUGAAUAUGGACUGAAGGUCAGAUGACUCCUGUCCCAAGUAAGGGACUCUGAGCACCAGGGAAAAUGAUUCUUUUUAAAGUUUUACUUUAAGUAUUUCAUAAUUUACUUCAUUUUCCCCCAAUUGUAGUGGAGGUAUCUGGCUUAAAGAUCCCAAGGAUUGAUUGGUUGUUUUUUCACUCUUUAUUUCUGAAUUUACUUUUUUCCCAUUUUAAUUAUAGAAGUAUUUUCAAGGAUUACUGUCAAAACAUAAAAAUAUAUGGCUAAGAAAAAAUAUAUGUAUAUUGCAACAUUCCAAAGAUAAACAUACUUUAUGUGUUAGAAGAAACACAAUUUAUGGGCCUGGCCCACUGGCCAGGUGGUUGAGUUGACGCGCUCCACUUCCACAGCCCAGGGUUUUGCCAGUUUGGAUCCUGGGCGCAGACCUAGCACCACUCAUCAAGCCAUGCUGAGGUGGUGUACCACAUGCCACAACUAGAAGGACCCACAACUAAAAUAUACAACUAUGUAGUGGGGGGCUUUGGGGAAAAGAAGGAAAAAUAAAAAUAAAAAAAAGAAAAUUUAUGUGUUACAAAACACAUUUUAUGUGUGUUAAGCACAUUUUGUUGUGUGUCUACUUCUGGACAUUUAUAUACAUAUACUGUAUCUGUACAUUUUUAAAAGGGAUUAUCAUCUUUUAAAAACUUUCUUGUAACGUGUUUUUUACUUAAUGCUAUUUCUUAAGCAUCUUUACUGAAAGAUAAUAGAUAGCUAAUUAUUAACUCUGAAGAGCAAGGGUCAAGAAAUAUUUGUUGAAUGAAUGUAUAAUUUCCCUUUAUCACCAGCUGCUUCCAAGCCCCCUACUUCAGGUGUCUGGGAAUACCACAUGGCUUUAGGCCAAAAGCGUUUUGUCCCUCAUUAGGGCAAAAAAAAUUAAGGAUGUCUUUUCUCCUCCUCCUUCUAGUUCCAAUAAACCUACACUUUGUUCCCAUUCCCUCCUUUAGAGGUGCGAUGGAAAAGAAGUUUUCAGAUUCAGCUCCUUCCUGGACGGGUAAACUUGUUUUAAAAUGUCACACUUUUGUGCAGUAAGAAAACUCGAAAGUGCUAUUUGUAAGCUAAGUACUGAUAAAAUAGAAAUCUCCUACAUAUAUUAAGUGAAGAAAAGAGCUGCAGAAUAACGGUUAAAUAUUUUCCAUUUUAUGUAAAAGUUAGAUAAAAUAAACAUGGACAAAGAAA